CGCUCAUGAUGACGUCGCGGAUAUAUUCUCCAUGCUCUACCUACAGUUGAAAAUGCUAUCUCAUCACGACUACAUCUUUCGCAGCAGAGCAGAGGCGUUUGGAGUUUUGUUUUGGGGUUUUUCCCCAUUUUCAUUUUGGAGCAAGAAAAUGACGCCGCAACUUUUACAAACCAUGAAAUUAUAAGUUGCAUUUUAUUUCAAACUAUUUUCAUUUUACAGCUUACUGAUUUAAACAUUACAAUAUUUGUGUCCACGUUAGAAUUUAUCUACUUCAUAAGUAAAACGAUGAAACAAAAUGAAAGUUUACAAACUCAGCUAUUUUUACUGACUAACUUAACCUACUUUAAAAGCAAAAAUGGUAUACUCCAAAUAAAUGCAAAUGGAACUGUAUGGCAAAUAAAUGCAAAUGCAACUAAAGUGGAGUUAGGUGUAUGCUUUUUGCAUAAAAUAAGCUGCUCAUCUUGAUUGGCGGUGUGUUAACAGGUGCAGAGCAAUAUCAGGACAAGGCCGAACAUGUAUUCCUCGAAUCUUUGGAGUUGAGUUGGGUUGAGCUGGAUUGACUAAGGCUGGUAUUGAGACUGGAGCUGAGACGUUGGCAACAGCUCUGGCCAGUAAUAUGUCAGAAUGAAUUUGCCGGCAAUGCUUUACUAAGAACUUGUCAACCCUCAUCACUGUGUUUUCCAUUGAAGCCUUUAUGUUGCCAAUACAUGCCUCAGCUCUAGCUGAGAUUGCUACAUCAUGGGGAUUAUUGAAAAACUGUUGCAUUACAUUUGUCCAGCAAACAAAAUCUUUGGCUAAAUCUAUCAAUCUAUUAGCAAAAUCAGAUAGAGCUUGUGCAAUUGGUACUAUUUGAUCUCCUAUAUGAGUGCACAUUAUGGACAAAAAAAUGUCACUGGAAUCUCCGUCAGGUCUAUUGAUUUUCAAUGCUAUCGAUGAUGUUGCAUCAAGGGCCACUGCAUUUCCCAACUCGUUCGCGAUAUCAUUGUAAACACUUAUUUGGGAAGGUGACCAAUAUGGAGUUAAAUAAAGGUAC
Molecule: long non-coding RNA, 1033 nt
Organism: Phymastichus coffea
Lineage: Eukaryota; Metazoa; Arthropoda; Insecta; Hymenoptera; Eulophidae
Exons: 7
Source: RefSeq, a predicted model, not a curated record